Molecule: unclassified non-coding RNA, 503 nt
Filed under: uncultured Entrophospora
Lineage: Eukaryota; Fungi; Glomeromycota; Glomeromycetes; Entrophosporales; Entrophosporaceae
Description: SSU rRNA
Rfam family: Eukaryotic small subunit ribosomal RNA
Source: RNAcentral
CCAAUAGCGUAUAUUAAAGUUGUUGCAGUUAAAAAGCUCGUAGUUGAAUUUCGGGAUUGACACAUCGGUCGUGCCUUAAGGGGUAUGAACUGGUGUAGUCAAUUUCUCACCUUCUGGAGAACCGCGAUGCCCUUAAUUGGGUGUCGCGGGGAACCAGGACCUUUACUUUGAAAAAAUUAGAGUGUUUAAAGCAGGCAUUUUGCUUGAAUACAUUAGCAUGGAAUAAUAAAAUAGGACGGCAUGAUUCUAUUUUGUUGGUUUCUAGGAUCACCGUAAUGAUUAAUAGGGAUAGUUGGGGGCAUUAGUAUUCAAUUGUCAGAGGUGAAAUUCUUGGAUUUAUUGAAGACUAACUACUGCGAAAGCAUUUGCCAAGGAUGUUUUCAUUAAUCAAGAACGAAAGUUAGGGGAUCGAAGACGAUCAGAUACCGUCGUAGUCUUAACCAUAAACGAUGCCGACCAGCGAUCCGCCGGAGUUCCUCCGAUGACUCGGCGGGCAGCUUCCG